GGGCCCGCACAAGCGGUGGAGCAUGUGGUUUAAUUCGAUGAUACGCGAGGAACCUUACCAGGGCUUAAAUGUAUUCUGACAGCUUUAGAGAUAGAGUUUUCUUCGGACUACUUACAAGGUGCUGCAUGGUUGUCGUCAGCUCGUGCCGUGAGGUGUCAGGUUAAGUCCUAUAACGAGCGCAACCCCUGUCGUUAGUUACCAGCAAGUAAUGUUGGGUACUCUAGCGAGACUGCCGGUGCAAACCGUGAGGAAGGUGGGGAUGACGUCAAAUCAUCACGGCCCUUACGUCCUGGGCUACACACGUGCUACAAUGGCCGGUACAGAGAGCAGCCACUACGCGAGUAGGAGCGAAUCUUCAAAGCCGGUCUCAGUUCGGAUCGCAGUCUGCAACUCGACUGCGUGAAGCUGGAAUCGCUAGUAAUCG
Molecule: ribosomal RNA, 424 nt
Filed under: uncultured bacterium
Lineage: Bacteria
Description: bacterial SSU rRNA
Rfam family: Bacterial small subunit ribosomal RNA
Source: RNAcentral